This is a long non-coding RNA of Brienomyrus brachyistius, 1058 nucleotides long. RefSeq lists it as uncharacterized. The record is from RefSeq and is a predicted model, not a curated record. NCBI's taxonomy places the organism in Eukaryota, Metazoa, Chordata, Actinopteri, Osteoglossiformes, Mormyridae. The transcript is spliced from 2 exons.
GCUGUCUGUAACGCAUACACGUCGCUUGGUCACUGAUCUUUCACAACUGUCUUUGUUUUAAAAAGACUUGUAUAUUUGUACCUGGAUGCUUGUAUGGGUUUGUUUGUAAAUGUUAUCUAAAUCUGUAUUUUGGUAUUUGCUAUCCAUUAUGAUAUUUGCGUGGUUUACACGUAUUAAAUUUUUUGGAAAAGUUUCUGUGCUUUUGUGGGUUGAUGGGCGCCUCUGGGGGGUGGGUGAGAUUGUUGGCGUGUACGGCCAACUGGGCUUAGUUUCAUAAGUCUGAAAAGCCAUGUGUUUCUGCUUUAGACGUGGCUCGAAAGCAGUUUCCGGGGGUUGCUCUCUUCCUCGAAGCGGUAUACAUAUUACUCCCCUUGCUUAAGUAGUUCUUUGAUUUGGAUGGGUGUACUGUGUCCUUUUCACUGGAAAAUGAUUUUUGACAUGCGCUUCCUUGUGUGCUUUUUGGCGAUCGUGAAUCAUUUGACUAACCCAGCCUAUAUGGAGUUCUGCAUUAACAAGCGUGGUUGCGACACACACGGUUGGGUAACCGUACAGUUUAUUGCACGUGAUCUGACCAGCAUAUAAACAUUCCUUCAUCCUAAAAUUCGCUCAUCCUGCUCUUGUUUUCGAUUCUAAACGUUGCGCGUAAUAGUAUAAAAUCGCUUACGGUUUAUAUAUAAUUCUUAUGUACUCUGAGCACUUCAGUCGGCGGCACUAGCUGCAGCAUGAGGUCAUUAAGUAUAACCAGCUCCCUGCAAGGUCAGCUAUGAUUUAUACGCUAAAAAUUUGUUUGCCUGACGUUCCUCCAAGACAAGUGUAUUCAUGGGUGCAAUCUUCCGUAAAUGGAUUAUAUGGAAAUGCUGUGUGUAUUACUUAACCGCAACCAUAAGUAGUAACCAACUAAUGUGGGAGCGGAAUACGUGGAGCCACCCCUCUAUGACACACGGAAUGGUACAGUCCUGGUACAGACCUUUAGAUGGAAAAUGAGGAGCUAUGCAGAAGUUACAGGAAUGAGGAGUUUCCGUGAAAAAGGCGUGGGGCAUUAAAGAUGCAAGAAAGAU